UACAGAGGUGGCAAGCGUUGUUCGGAAUUACUGGGCGUAAAGGGCGAGUAGGCGGCCUUCUAAGUCAGACGUGAAAUCCCCCGGCUUAACCUGGGAACUGCGUCUGAUACUGGGAGGCUUGAGUAUGGGAGAGGGAUGUAGAAUUCCAGGUGUAGCGGUGAAAUGCGUAGAUAUCUGGAGGAAUACCGGUGGUGUAGACGGCUUUCUGGACCGUAACUGACGCUGAGACACGAAAGCGUGGGUAGCAAACAGG
This 253-nucleotide ribosomal RNA is filed under the name uncultured bacterium. Its description in RNAcentral is "partial 16S ribosomal RNA". It matches the Rfam family "Bacterial small subunit ribosomal RNA", at positions 524 to 776 of the family's 1533-position model. The record is from RNAcentral.